CCUACGGGUGGCUGCAGUGGGGAAUAUUGGGCAAUGGGCGAAAGCCUGACCCAGCAACGCCGCGUGAAGGAAGAAGGCUUUCGGGUUGUAAACUUCUUUUGACAGGGAAGAGCAGAAGACGGUACCUGUCGAAUAAGCCACGGCUAACUAAGUGCCAGCAGCCGCGGUUAUACGUAGGUGGCAAGCGUUGUCCGGAGUGACUGGGUGUAAAGGGCGUGCAGCCGGGAAGACAAGUCAGAUGUGAAAUCCUGCGGCUCAACCGCGGAACUGCAUUUGACACUGUUUUUCUUGAGUAUCGGAGAGGUAAUCGGAAUUCCUAGUGUAGCGGUGAAAUGCGUAGAGAUUAGGAGGAACACCAGUGGCGAAGGCGGAUUACUGGACGACAACUGACGGUGAGGCGCGAAAGCGUGGGGAGCAAACAGGAUUAGAUACCCUGGUAGUC
This 442-nucleotide ribosomal RNA is filed under the name uncultured bacterium. RNAcentral's name for it is "partial 16S ribosomal RNA". It matches the Rfam family "Bacterial small subunit ribosomal RNA", at positions 338 to 795 of the family's 1533-position model. The record is from RNAcentral.